CAGAGGUGGCAAGCGUUGUUCGGAAUUACUGGGCGUAAAGGGCGCGUAGGCGGCCAUCUAAGUCAGACGUGAAAUCCCCCGGCUUAACCUGGGAACUGCGUCUGAUACUGGAAGGCUUGAGUUUGGGAGAGGGAUGUAGAAUUCCAGGUGUAGCGGUGAAAUGCGUAGAUAUCUGGAGGAAUACCGGUGGCGAAGGCGGCAUCCUGGACCAACACUGACGCUGAGGCGCGAAAGCUAGGGGAGCAAACGGGAUUAGAUACCCCGGUAGUCCUAGCCCUAAACGAUGAAUGCUUGGUGUGGCGGGUAUCGAUCCCUGCCGUGCCGAAGCUAACGCAUUAAGCAUUCCGCCUGGGGAGUACGGUCGCAAGGCUG
Molecule: ribosomal RNA, 372 nt
Filed under: uncultured organism
Description: bacterial SSU rRNA
Rfam family: Bacterial small subunit ribosomal RNA
Source: RNAcentral